RNAcentral lists this ribosomal RNA (492 nucleotides) under uncultured bacterium. RNAcentral's name for it is "partial 16S ribosomal RNA". It matches the Rfam family "Bacterial small subunit ribosomal RNA", at positions 29 to 507 of the family's 1533-position model. The record is from RNAcentral.
AGUGAACGCUGGCGGUAGGCCUAACACAUGCAAGUCGAACGGCAGCACAGUAAGAGCUUGCUCUUACGGGUGGCGAGUGGCGGACGGGUGAGGAAUACAUCGGAAUCUACUUUUUCGUGGGGGAUAACGUAGGGAAACUUACGCUAAUACCGCAUACGACCUACGGGUGAAAGCAGGGGAUCUUCGGACCUUGCGCGAUUGAAUGAGCCGAUGUCGGAUUAGCUAGUUGGCGGGGUAAAGGCCCACCAAGGCGACGAUCCGUAGCUGGUCUGAGAGGAUGAUCAGCCACACUGGAACUGAGACACGGUCCAGACUCCUACGGGAGGCAGCAGUGGGGAAUAUUGGACAAUGGGCGCAAGCCUGUUCCAGCCAUACCGCGUGGGUGAAGAAGGCCUUCGGGUUGUAAAGCCCUUUUGUCGGGAAAGAAAAGCAGCAGGUUAAUACCCCGCUGUUCUGACGGUACCCAAAGAAUAAGCACCGGCUAACUUCGUG